Long non-coding RNA from Helianthus annuus (common sunflower), 1782 nucleotides. RefSeq lists it as uncharacterized. The record is from RefSeq and is a predicted model, not a curated record. The transcript is spliced from 4 exons. NCBI's taxonomy places the organism in Eukaryota, Viridiplantae, Streptophyta, Magnoliopsida, Asterales, Asteraceae.
AAGCAUAAUGUACAAGAGAUAUCAAGCCAUUUUAGAGGGGGUAAAUUGAGACAAUGUCCAAACUUUUAAGACACCUUGAGGGCAAUAUAGAGAUUUCAUCCAUGGAAUUUAAAAAAAAAACACCACCGUCUGCCCUUUUAUCUACCUCUUAAACCCCUACAUCUACCUCUUAAACCUCUAAAUCUACCUCUCAAACCCAGAAAGAAGCAGUUGAUCGGUCCAUCCUUUAUCAUGAACCUGCAGUCGCUCUUAAGGCUUAAGAUGAAGAGGGUGGACGAUAGCGACUUACCAACCCUGCAAUUGAAUCAUUUGCCUUUUCAUGUAUUUCGAUCCUCAAAACCCACCGCCAAAUCGAUUUCGUCUAUAGUCGAUCUAUCUCUGUCGCUCUAUCUUCAGAUUCAUCACACAUCAAAACCCUUAAAUGUGGUGGUGUAGGAUCAUAAACAGCCCCGAUUAACCAACCAAUCUGAUGCAGCGGCGGUGGUUUCAGAGUACAAUCAGUUUACCGGUGACUAAGGUAAGUCAGACCUCUUAUUUUGUUUCUUUAUUUUCAGAACUGGUGAACGUUUUUAUGGUCUAGGGUUUUAUUGGCUAUGAUUUGGUGAACUGUCGUUAAAUCUAUGGCGAGGACAAGGGUAAAAACGGCUACCAGUCAGUGAUGACGUGUCUGGAAGUAGGUUUUCGGUCAGGAAUAGCUGCUGCCAUAAUUAGGUUUUUGAUUUACAAUGAAUUCUGGUAUGUUUAUGUGCAGGUUCAUGACAUUAGGAUUCAAAGUUUUCUACAAUUUUGGUUAGAGAUGUAACUAAAGAACAAUUUUUUUACUUCUGGAAUCUGUUACAUUUUGUUUUUGUUUUGUGUUUUGGUUGUUAAAGUGAAUCUUUAGGUCACACAUUCAAGAUUGAUGAGGUUUCAGAUUUAUAUCAUUGCAAGAAAAGCUUGAGUGUUUCUACACCGGUGGCCAGUCGGAAUCAGAAACCCAAGCCGGAGCCAUUUGUCAUCGGCAUUUAAACCAUGAUUUAUAUUGGGAGAGAGAACGACAAAGCGAGAGACAAUGGAGAUGGGAGACCUGCCUUCGGCCGGCCACCUUAAACCGGCAAUCCUCCAUUCAUUCAUCGCUCAUUUAAAAUGCGAUGAUAUAGGGUAUAUGAUUUCAAAACGUUCAAUGAAACUCCUUUGGCGCCUCAUCGGGCUGAAGAGUAAUUUGGUGAAAUCGAAUUUGUUUGGUAUUGGAGUCGAGUAUCAUGAAGUUCAGUAUCUUAAUUAUUACGAUGAAAUACAAACGGACAUAAACAAACACGUUACUGAGCAUUCACGUACGUAAAUGAGCGAACGCGGCCUCUGUUCAUGUUUCUUGAUUUAACUAAACGAAUGAUUUUUUUUUCAAAAGUCCAAUUCCAAUACCUCUGAUCAAGAGAAGAUUGGGGGUAACAAGAGUAGAACAUGGAAGCUAUGGAGGAGCCCGUCAGCCGGGUGUUCCUCGUCUUCAACGAGUUCAUCUUCUAAGGCGAUAAAAGGCGUGGGACAGUUGUCGACUUUGGAUGCUUCUCGUUCGGAUGAGGUGUCGUUUUCGGCUGCUGUGGCGACUGUGGUUAGAGCUCAGCCUAAAGAUUUUAUGUUUGUUAGGCAAGAAUGGGCUGCGAUUCGAAUUCAGUCGGUUUUUCGCUCUUUUUUGGUAAUUUCUAAACCUUGAAUAUCAAAUUUUAACAUGCUAUGCUACUGAGAAAGAAUAUUAACUUGUCUAUAUUUUGUCUUUUGAUAUGAUAUAAAACUUGGGGCUUUGUC